AUACGUAGGGGGCGAGCGUUGUCCGGAAUUAUUGGGCGUAAAGCGCGCGUAGGCGGCCGGUUAAGUCCUGUGUGAAAGACCACGGCUCAACCGUGGGGGUGCACGGGAAACUGGCCGGCUUGAGUGCAGGAGAGGGGAGCGGAAUUCCCGGUGUAGCGGUGGAAUGCGUAGAGAUCGGGAGGAACACCAGUGGCGAAGGCGGCUCUCUGGCCUGUAACUGACGCUGAGGCGCGAAAGCGUGGGGAGCGAACAGGAUUAGAUACCCUGGUAGUCCACGCCGUAAACGAUGAGUGCUAGGUGUUGGGGGCAUCGGGCCCUCUGUGCCGAAGGAAACCCAAUAAGCACUCCGCCUGGGGAGUACGGCCGCAAGGCUGAA
This 376-nucleotide ribosomal RNA is filed under the name uncultured bacterium. Its description in RNAcentral is "bacterial SSU rRNA". It matches the Rfam family "Bacterial small subunit ribosomal RNA", at positions 523 to 898 of the family's 1533-position model. The record is from RNAcentral.